Molecule: ribosomal RNA, 1790 nt
Filed under: Durio zibethinus
Lineage: Eukaryota; Viridiplantae; Streptophyta; Magnoliopsida; Malvales; Malvaceae
Description: SSU rRNA
Rfam family: Eukaryotic small subunit ribosomal RNA
Source: RNAcentral
CCUGGUUGAUCUUGCCAGUAGUCAUAUACUUGUUUAAAAUAUUAAACCAUGCAUGUGUAAGUAUGAACUAAUUCAGACUGUGAAGCUGCGAAUGGCUCAUUAAAUUAGUUAUAGUUUAUUUGAUGGUAUCUACUACUAGGAUAACUGUAGUAAUUCUAGAGCUAAUACGUGCAACAAACCCUGACUUUUGAAAGGGAUGCAUUUAUUAGAUAAAAGGCCAAUGUAGGCUAUGCCCGUUGCUCUAAUGAUUCAUGAUAACUCAACAAAUUGCACGGCCUUUAUGUUAGCGUGCAUCAUUCAAAUUUUUGUCCUAUCUACUUUCGAUGGUAGGAUAAUGGCCUACUAUGGUGGUGAUGGGUGACGAAAAACUAGUUUUGAUUUCAAAAAUGAAGCAUGAGAAACGGCUACCACAUCCAAGGAAGGCAGCAGGUGCGUAAAUUACCUAAUCCUGACACGGGGAGGUAGUGACAAUAAAUAACAAUAUCGAGCCCUAUGAGUCUGGUAAUUGGAAUGAAUACAAUCUAAGUCCCUUAAUGAGGAUCUAUUGGAAGGCAACUUCGUUGCCAGCAGCUACGGUAAUUCUAGCUCCAAUAGCAUAUAUUUAAGUUGUUGCAGUUAAAAAGCUCAUAGUUGGAACUAGGGUUGGGUCGUCCAGUCUGUCUCACGGUGAGCAUCGAUUUACUCAUCCCUACUGUGGAUGAUGCAUUCUUAGCCUUAAUUGGUCAGGUCAUUCCUUUAGCACUAUUACUUUGAAGAAAUUAGAGUGCUCAAAGUAGGCCUAUGCUUGUAUACAUUAGUAUGGGAUAACAUUAUAAGAUUUCGAUCCUAUUGUGUUGGCCUUCAGGACUGGAGUAAUGAUUAAUAAGGACAGUUGGGGACAUUCGUAUUUCAUAGUUAGAGGUAAAAUUCUUAGAUUUAUGAAAGAUGAACAACUGCGAAAGCAUUUGCCAAUGAUGUUUUCAUUAAUCAAGAAUGAAAGUUAGGGGCUAGAAGAUGAUCAGAUAUCGUCUUAGUCUCAACCAUAAAUGAUGUCGACCAAGGAUCGACGAACGUUACUUUUAGGACUCUACCGGCACCUUAUGAGAAAUCAAAGUCUUUGGGUUCCAUUAGGAGUAUGGUUGCAAGGCUAAAACUUAAAGGAAUUGAUGAAAGGGCACCACCAAGAGUGGAGCCUGUAGCUUAAUUUGACUCAAUAUGGGAAAACUUACUAGGUCCAAACAUGAUAAGGAUUGAUAGACUGAAAGUUCUUUCUUGAUUCUAUGGGUGGUAGUGUGUGGUCAUUCUUAGUUAGUGGAGCAAUUUAUCUAGUUAAUUCCAUUAACGAACGAGACCUCAGCCUGCUAACUAGCUACGUGGAGGUGAUCCUUAUGGCUAGCUUUAGAGGGGCUAUGCGCUUAGGCUAAGGAAGUUUGAGGCAAUAAUAGGUCCGUGAUGCCCUUAGAUGUUCUAAGCUGCACGCGUGCUACACUGAUGUAUUCAAUGAGUCUAUAGUCUUGUCUAACAAGCUCGGGUAGUCUUUAAAAUUUCAUCAUGAUGGGGAUAGAUCAUUGUAAUUGUUGGUCUUCAAUAAGGAAUUCCUAUUAAGCGUGAGUCAUCAGCUCGCAUUGACUAUGUCCCUACCCUUUGUACACACCGCCCAUUGCUCCUACCGAUUGAAUGGUCCAGUAAAGUGUUCAGAUUGUGAUGAUGUGGACAGUUCACUUCCUGCGACAUUGCGAAAAGUCCACUGAACCUUAUAAUUUAAAGGAAGGAGAAGUCGUAACAAGGUUUCUUUAGUGAACCUAUAGAAG